UAAUGCAUCGGAACGUGUCCUGUUNUGGGGGAGUAACUGAUCGAAAGAUCAGCUAAUACCGCAUGAGACCUGAGGGUGAAAGCGGGGGAUCGCAAGACCUCGCGCGACAGGAGCGGCCGAUGUCUGAUUAGCUAGUUGGUGAGAUAAAAGCUUACCAAGGCGACGAUCAGUAGCUGGUCUGAGAGGAAGGUCCCCCACAUUGGAACUGAGACACGGUCCAAACUCCUACGGGAGGCAGCAUG
RNAcentral lists this ribosomal RNA (242 nucleotides) under uncultured bacterium. RNAcentral describes it as "partial 16S ribosomal RNA". It matches the Rfam family "Bacterial small subunit ribosomal RNA", at positions 111 to 353 of the family's 1533-position model. The record is from RNAcentral.